UUUUUGAAGUCUUGCUCUCUGCAUGACGAAACGCUCCUCUCCAAGAACUAAAAAAAAUGCUAUGGUGGAACAGAGGCUGCUUUACACCUGCUGGGGGCACUGCAAUACAAAGAAAAGGAGCGGUGAAUGCUGAAGAUCUUUCACCUUAGAAGCUGACAAAAAAACCUGCAACUUUCAGCAAAAAUAAGAUAAGAUUAUCAGAAUUGAGAGCUGUCACUGGGAGGAAAAAGAUGAUUAAAUGUAUUCACUAACCACUCAAAAGGAAAAGGCUAUCCAGGUUCCACAAGUAUAGUAGUAUAGCUAUAGUGCUAUCUGCAUGAUUGACAGUAGUUCCAUGCAAUUGCAUGUUAUUUUACUUCCUUUUACUCCUAAAAAUACAUUCUCUGUACUUUUCUCCCAUUAGUAGUCAAAUUAUAAUGACUUAUAAAGUCUAGUUGUGGUGUGAUUUCUGAUAACAGGGUGUUAUUCUUGCAAAAUGGAUUCAGUCUUCUUUGCGAAUUUGUUUGCGUCCAGUUAUGCCAUUUGGAAAAUGGAAGACUUACUUUGAUAGUACAAUAAUCACAGAUUAGAGGCUUGGCUGAAGAGAGGUCAUUGUAUUUCCAGGAUUUAUCAGUAAACUGCUUAUAAGUGCUAUUGGUUUGCUGACUGCUUCUUUGCAGUCUUAAAGCAAGGAUUUGACAUCACGCUCCUGAUAUUCUGUGCUUUAUGAUAAAUUCUCUGCAUUGCAAUAACCAUUUCGUACUCUCAUCAGGUACCUAUCUCUAGUUUUUUCAAAAGUGUAUGACAUGCCAUUAGAAUUUACUAACUAUAUUUUUCCUGCAUUAGUGUUUCAAUACCACUUUCUUUGCAUUGUGGAGAAAAAACAAGAUCUGUUUUUACUAUUUUCAACAAUAGUUUGACAACAACAAUAAAAUAAUAUUGGCACUAUAUUGCUUUUAGAAAUGGCAUAAUACUCUCUGGUUUCAUAAUAUCCCUACAACAAGGAAAAUAGAUUAUCCACACUAAUAUAUGGACAUUAUCUUUUUCAGAUUUGCACUUAUUUAAACAAAUUUCAUAAUUCUCUUAAGUUCCCAAUUUUUAACUCAUUUGUGGAGUUUUCUUACAGAGGUUGUACAUACAUGUGUUAAGUACAUCUUCACUUAGUCAUUCAUAUUCUGGUAAUAGCCAGUUAGUUUGAAAGCAGAAUUAUCUUUUAAUGCUUAACAGAGCAACUGGUAUGUUUCAUGUUUGUAAAAGCUACAAUGAUCAAAGUAGUACUCUUUCUGAAGUACUAUUUCCAAAAUGAGAAAACUGAGGAAGGAUAAGAUCUUGAUAGCAUUCACGAAAUGAAAGAUAACCAAACAGAGAACAGUAUGAAACAGCUUAAUUCUUAAUUAGUUAAAGAUUUGCUUACUUCAUCUGGACAUCACUUCUCAUUGUUGUAAUAAUGCUUAUGCUUAGAAGGACACAGAUACUGCUAAGUUUCUAAGAUGACAGAGAGAAGAGUCAUCACCUCUUGACACAUAUUUGUUAUAGUUUCUCUUUCAGAGUAGGAGGUGUUAAAGGUCAGGGCUUUGGCAUUCAGGCUGAAUCUCAAGAAUUUGUACUUUAAGUCUUGGCUUAAAAUACAUUUUCCAUAUUUACCACAAUUUGAAGCUAUUUAUAAGUGUUACAUGACAAUCAUUUCUUUGUUCAUGGAGAGGUUACAAGAUAAUAUAGAAUUUUGUGGACAAUGGGAUGGAACAGCAGAUUAAAAAUAAUAGUAAAAUAAUAUUUUCAUUAAGUAUUUCCAUUUUUAUCCUUUUUAAGGCCUCCAGCUCACCUCUUCCCCUUCUGUAACAAAAAGCUGACAAAAGCACACUAAAGAACAGUGCAGUGAAAUGAAGACAGAAAAUACGAAUAGUAUUAAUAACAGCUUUUGCUUAUAAUUGUAGUCACUUCAUGUAUUUCUGAAACUACUGCACAAUGACAUUCCUUUAAAAGAUAUACAGAUCAGAAAAAAUUAUUGGAUGAACCAGUUACAGAGUAAUUCCUUUAUUACUUAAUGUAAGAGGAAUCUGAAAGCUCACGUUAGAAAAUCAUAUUGUAAUGACAGGGUCAGCUACAAAAUGUCUAUUAUCUUGAUGUAGAGCUAAAUAUGUGCAUUUCUUGCCCUCAUCUUAGAAGUUCAAAUACAGUUAUGAAUUUAAUUUUCCAGUACAAAAUAUAUUAUUAUCCCUAGAUGUUAAUCUAUCAUGAUCUGUACCUAGAACAGUGAUUUUAGAAGACAAAACUCAGUUCAAUUUUUAAACCUUGUGUUUACUAGUCAGCUAUAAAAAAAUCCUUAAUACUGCCAUGCUUUCAGAUCAGUGUAUUCAGUCCCAUCCCACAGAAAGACCUUAUGCUUUAGAAAAAACAACACCUUUUCUCAGUUAAACAUGAGUUGUGGAUCUCACUGUUGUUAUUUCAAACAUAUUAUUGUGUAAUUUCUUAUUAUAUCAAUUUCUAUGGAACCCAACAGAACAGCAGAACACUGAUUUUCUGUAGUGUUUGUUAUAUGGCACUUAAAGUAACUACUGUACCUUGACACUAGUCCCACAAACUAUUUAGAUCCUUAGAUCUGCCAUUCUACUACAUGCAGCCUUCAUUCCUGAGGUAGGGAUUUAAUAACUCCUAUUUCUUUACUUCAUUUUUUUCUGAGAAUUCAAAGCAGACAAAGUUGGCAAAGGGACUCUGUUUGCCUUCAACAAAUCAAAAUACUGAGUCCCUUGUUACAUUGGACUGCAUGAAGUGAUGGCACAAGCCAAACUACACCGCUCUGUCUCCAUUUCAUAUUACAAAACUGUCUAGCAACUUGGCUGAAAGCAAAGAACAUUUUUUAUAAAGAACAUUUAAAAUAUACAGAAUAUUUUAACCAAAAAUCUUGAUGUUACUUUUGUAAGCUGACAACAGAAGAGGUUUUCAGUAUGUAAUAAAACUUGGAGGAUCAAAGAAUCACAGAACAUAGGACGGAGUUAAAGAAAACUCUGGGGAUCAUCUGGUCCCACCCUCUGUUAAAGCAGGUUCCCUACAGCAGGUUGCACAGGAAAGCAUUGAUGUGGGUUUUGAAUAUGUCCAGAAAAAGAGACCCCACAAUCUCUCUGGGCAGUCAUUUUCUGUGAUCUGUCACCCUCAAAAUAAAGAAAUUCCUUCUCAUAUUUGUAUGGAACUUCCUGUAUUCCAGUUUUCUCUCACUGCACAUUAUCCUGUUGCUUCCCACCACUGAAAAGAGCCUGGGCCCAUCCAUUUGACUCCCAUACUUAAGGUAUUUAUAAACAGUGAUGAGAUCCCCAUUCAGUUUUCUCUUCUCCAGGCUGAUCAGUCCCAGAUCUCUCAACCUUUUCUCAUACAGGAGAUGCUCCAUGCCCCAGGAUCACACGUGCUCUUGACAAAAAUGGAAAUUCCUUCUUCCUAGUCAGGAAGUAGAUAAUGUAAGGAACUCUCUGAUACAUGACUGUUACAGGUAUCUUAGAGAAAGAUGCUAUUUUAUACUUAAGUCCCGAUGAGAGAAGGAAUUAUAGAUAUUCAUGUCAAGUCAACCCCUGAUAUGUGGUCCAAGAACCACAACAGAGGGUAACUCCAGAUUUCAGGGUAGCAGUGAUUUCUUUAUUCAGCCUCAUGCACAACAAAAGAAAAAUUACCUUGUAAAGUUAACGUGUAUAUUGCAAAAGAAUUUCGUACUUUGGUAUGACAUGUAGUCCUUCCUCUUUAAAGCAUUUCUAACUACCUCAUAGGAAAAAAAUGACAUUUCUCUCUUUCCUUGUAUAUAUGAUCCUUUCUUGGCCUUAAGGGCCUACUUUAGGAGCAAAACUAAACUAUGAUCACGUUCCAAAACUCUUUCUUAAAACUUACUAAACUGCAAAAAAAAUUACAGUAUUUUUCUUGUAAGCAAAGAUUUGUUGUACUAUCAAUUUGUGACAGUUUUCACAAGGUAAGAGCUGGCUUAUAACAGGCAAAUUGUGUGUUUGGAUGUCUAUGAUGUCUAUGAUGUUACAUAUUAAACUGCAGUUAUUUCCUCAGACAGUGAGGGACAGCCAUAGAAGAACGUGGUUACUUUGUGGUUAUGGUUUAGGCAUAGGAUAUUCAAAAAACAGGAUGUUCAACAGUCGCAUUGCAUGAAUGGUGUCAUAUUUCAAAUAUAAUUUUCUGUAAGACUUUCUCUUCAGGGAGGAGUUAAAGCCUAAUGAUGACUAGAGGCAGACGUUUUGGCAGUCCUAACUCAUAGACAGCAUUUGUUGGGUCUAAAAAUAUGAAAAUAAGAAAAAUAGUUGUAUUUGUCAUGCUUGAGUUUGAAAUGAAAAGGAAUCCUUAUUUUUGAAUCUUACAGUUAUCUAGCUUGUGAACAUAUUUCACACAAGGAAUGAAUUUGCAAGAGUGUUUUAAUUUUCAUUUUAUUCAUUUUCAACUUCCUAACAUAUUUCUCAGAAGAGUGAAUUAAUCGAUAAUCUUAGUGUCAAAAACACAUCAUGCAUAUAUGAGAGCAGAGAAUUCAACUUCUAGCUAAGUUAAUGGUCAAUAUUAACUUUAGAAGAUAUAUGAAUUAUAAGAUUUUUUAAAAUUUAUCAUUAGCAUGCCUUGAGCCUAUUUCUAUGAAAAUAAGAAAUGCUAUGAAGUUCUAGAAUUUUUUUUUAAAAGAAUAUUUGGACCUUUCCUGAUUUUGUUAGUGAAUCAAGUGAAAUUGUAAAGGAUCUAAAAUACAAUAGAUUAAAAAUAUCUGCAAUCAUGGCACAUUUUCCCUUGAGUUGGCUUUAAUGUGACAAGGUUUUUGGUCAAUUUAAAUUCAAAUGGAUGUAUCCUUAAUAUAAUUUUUGUUCAAUAUGAAAUUAACUAUGUUGGUAAAUAAAAGCUUAAUUUGACCAAGAGAUCACUUGAGAUAUAAAUGUGACUGAUGUCUGCCAAGCCUAUCAUGAUCUUACAGUCUUAUUCUCCUCCCAUGUUUAAUUACUGUAUCAAACAAGGUAUUUCUUCUUUGUGUUCAAUAGCUGUAGCAGAAACAGUUCACUUCUAAUUUGGAAUACAGUCUUGAAACCUGAAGUGUACGUUGUUUUUUAAUAUGGUGUAAAAGACAUUCAGAAUCUGAGAGAGACAAGAAAAAUAAGUGCAUAUUUUGAUUGAUCCAAAAAGAAAAUAUUUUAUUUUACGGAAAAGCAUAUUCUUACAGCUUAGGAAUGUCUGCCUGUUAUAUACUUGAGAUAUAUGUAUAUAUAUAUUUUACCUUAAAUCUAUCUAUAUGUGUUUUUUUUCUCCAAAUUCUUUCAUAAAAAGAAUUUUACUAUCUGUGUUAAUAAGAAUGAUUAUUAUAAUAAAAAAGAGCAAUUCAGAAUCAAAGUCAAAUAGUGAAAGACCUCUUGCACUGUUGUGUUUUCUCUGUUCUUUUCCUAAUUUUCUACCUCCAAGGAUGGGGCAUCCACAGCUUUUCUGGACAGGCUGUUCCAGUGCCUCACCACCCUUGUCAAAAGUAAUUUCUUACUGAUAACUAAUCUAAUCUAAUCGGAUUCAUGAACACCUGAGGAACCUGAAUAUCUGCAUGUCGAUGAGAUGCAUCCUAGAAUCCUGAGGGAAUUAGCUGUUGUAGUCGCAAAGCCACUCUCAAAUAUUUGAAAACUCACAGCAAUCAGGUGAAGUUCUUGAUGACUGGAAAAAAGGCAACAACACAGCCAUUUUUAUGAUGGAUAAAAAAAAUGACUCCACAAACUACCAACUUGUCAGUCUCACCUCUGUGCCAGAAAAGAUCAUGGAGUAGAUCUUCCUGGAAGCUAUGCUAAGGCACAUGGAAGGGAGGGAGGUGAUACAGUAGAACAGGCAUGGCUUCACCAAGGGCAAAUCCUGCUUGAUCAGCCUUGUGGAUUUCUGUGAUGAAAUAACUGCAUCCAUGGACAAGGGAAGAGCCACUGAUGUCAUUUAUGAGGACUUCAGUAAGGCAUUUGACACAGUACCUCACAACAUCCUUUCCAAAAUGGAAACAUAUGGAUUUGACAGAUUAACUGCUUGAUAGACAAAGAACUUGUUGCAGAAUUGAAUCCAGAGAGCUGGACUAGAUGACCUCUAAAGGUCUCUUCCAACCCUGUGGAUUCUAUGAUUCUAUGAAACCCACCCUUUUCAGUUUAAAACAGUUACCCUUGUCCUGCACACCCUUAUAAAAUGUACAUCUUUCCUGUAUGCUCCCUUUUAACACUGGAAAACAGCUGUAGGUUCCAUUGAAGCCCAGCCCUCUGUAAACUGAAUAGCUCCAACUUUUUUCAGCUUUUCUUCAUAGGAGAGGUGCUUCAGUCCUCUACUUGUGGCCCUCCUCUUGACCUGUUCCAAUAGAUCUAUGGAUUGCUUCUGCUGAGGCCUCCAGAGCUGGAUGCAGUUCUCCUGGAACUAAGAAUAAAUACAUGAAUGUGUAGAUCCUCUUUGCCAUAGUGGGGGAAACUUGAACUCUCUAACCUGAAUUAUUUGUUUUUUUCAAAUUAGUUUUUAAUGCUUGGGAAUAUUUCCAGGCAGUUUAGUUACACUUCUUAUAUGAAAAGUUGAUGAAGUAAAUUGUUAUGGGGAGAAGAAAAGGCAUCUGCUUUAUGAAAGAUUUUUAUUUUUAUGUGUUUUCCUUUUCUUUCAAAUGUAUCACAUGCUUGCAUUAUUGUGUGAUGCUGAAAUUUGUAUUGUAUGCAAUUUUUUCAAAAGCGUUUUAUGUAUGUAGUGAAAAUUAUGUUUUAGAGAAGUGUGACUGAAUGACGUUAGAUUUCCUACUCCUCAAGAGAGAUAGCAUUUCUCAGCAAGAUUGGUAUGUAGUCUUUGUUGACAUCCUAAUGUUGCUGAAGGGUUAAUCUAAUCAUAUGAGCCCCUGUAACAAGGGCUAAUCUAGUUACAUGCACUUGAAUGUGUUGGUGGACCUUAGAGGUAUACUUCACUGUGCAGGUAAACCCCAAAUUCUCAUGCCCUUGUGACCUCCUCCUACUCAUGCACCACAGUUUUUCUUGGGAACUUGCUCACAGAUGCAGAAACCUUAGUCUUCAGGUUGAUGACUCUGAUUUCUCGUUACCCUUUGACCUCUGGGACUUCAUGCAUUGUGAGUAUCCAUGGGAACUUGAUAGGCUAUUACCCUCAUGCACUAUUUGGACUAGAAGAUUUCUCUGAGUACUACUGAGCAGUACAACGUAUUCAAUAGUAAGUAUUGACUUGCCUUUCAAAGCAGAAUUAUGUGAUACUGAUAAGAUUGAUUAUAUCACUUCUAAUGUUGAUUCUGCAAGGUGAACUUAAGGGAAACCAUAUUUCCAAAAGUCUGGUGCUUUCUUAAGCAAGAUGGCAAGACCAUCUAGAUAGCUUGCAAUUUGGAAAAAAAAAAAAAAAAAAAAAAAGGCAGCAUGAGUAAAAUGCUAGGGAAGAAAAUGAUUUGUUUGCUUUCAAAUUUUUCAUUCAUGUUACUAAUAGAAUAUUAUGACAUGAGGAUUGAGCCAUGCUGCACUUUCAAUAAAGUUUUGUACAGAGAUAUUACUGUCUAGGGAAUGUUUAAAUCUAGCAGUUUUAAAGAAAUAACAAGACUUUUACACAAAUUCUGUAGAAGUAUACUAUUUCCAUGUCUAUAGUGACGACAUUUUAAGAUCUGUACUUUUCACAAAGUAUUUAUACACUCUAUAAUUUGUUGUAAGUUCAGUUAGUCAUAUCCAUGUCAUUGCUUAUUUUCAUUCCUGAAGCAUUAAUUACAGACCAUGAUAUCCUUUCAACGAAACUACAGUAAGGCAAAAAUGAUUUUAUUUUGGGUCAUUGACCCUGAUAUGUAGAACUGAGGCUUACUGGUUUCCCCACUGACACUUAUAGGAAAAAACUUUUGAGAUUUACAAUUGCUAAAUUUCUUUGUUUAUUUUGAAGCAUACACAUUUAAAAUGCCCCUUAUAGCAUGUGUGCAGUCUCACCCAGUAUAACACUAUUACUGACAGGUGUAUUUUCACAUAUGAUCUUAUUUUGGCAUGUGAGUUUGAUUUAUGUAUGCAAGACAUAAAGACAAUUCUGCUUGUUGGGUUAAGCAAGGGAUUUAAAGAUUCUUUGGACCUUUAUCCUUCAGUAUUGCAGUAUUGGUUGCAACUGUUUUAUCAGUAUGGUAAACACAGAUGAGUGUUUGUGAGACAUACUUCUUUCAGAAAGAAAGUCCAGUAAUGAAAGGUGAGUAAUAUUUGAGAAUAUCGGUGGUUUGUAAUCUGUUACUUGUCACAAACAAAAAGAAUGCUGAAAUUUUGACCCUUCACAAAGGAUUGUGUGAGAUACUCAUGAUAGAAAAAACAUCUUGCACUUUAAUUUCUCCUUCAUUAGUGUUGUUUGGUUUCAUAACACAGCAGAGUUCCGUAUAGAAUCUUUCAUCUCACUUUUGAUCUUAAAUGGUUAUUAUGUUAAUGGCAGGAAGUAGAUAUCCUUUAAUGUUAUUGAUGCAUGCAGAAUAGACUCUGUCUAUUCAUGAAAAUGAAGGAGAUGAAAAACACAAAUACUUGUAAAUGUUUUUGUGGAGUAUGAAGGAGUUGCAGCCUUUUUUGUCUUGAUCUUAUUUUCUGUUUCUUAGAAGAGCAGAAACUUUCAGUUGCUGAUGUCGAGGAAUUCAGUUCAUCGUGUGCAGGACACAGUGAGAAGGUUUAUGUAACAAGAAGUUGGGAAAGAUCUCUCCAACAUCCCGCUGGGAAUGGAGCUGAGUGAGUGAAUGAAUGGCGGUGUGGUGCUGAGCUGACUACAAGGUUAAACCACAACAGCUCUGUAAUGCCAGGUCUCUUCUGUAUAUUGCCAAUAAAGAGAGGUGCUUGGGCACUUUCAGAGGAUUGCCUGUCACUGAAAAGAAACCAUAUUUUAGCCCUUCAAAACAGAUCCUUAAACAAAUUGACACUGGAAUAAAUGUAGGUAGGUGUUAAUACACAUCUGUACGUAUUUUCAAUAUGCAACAUCCUUCAGAGGUGCUAUCAAAAUAUGUAGUCUUUGAGCUUAGUGCUGACUAAUGUGAAAGUACUCAUAUUUUCUCAGUAAUCCCUCUCAGUUGCUUUAUAUUACUCCAUAAAUACUUGCUUUCAACUUGUCCUAUGCUGAAGAGCACCUUUAACUCACUGUCAGGAUGUGGCCUCUUUCUGCUGCAGAAAGGCAUGAGGAAACAUUCCUGGAAGUUUAAAAAUCUUCUUCUGUACCUGGAUGCAAAAAUCUGAAGCGAUAGAAACAGUAACAUGUCCUACCAUGACUAAUUAGCAUUGUAAAUUAUACUAUUUGAUCCUGCCUUGUCCUCCAAUCUAGAGCAAAUUAGCUUAUGUUUAUUCUUAAACCCAUAAUUUGUUUUCGCUGCCACCCUGUUACCAUUUGCCAGGGGACUUCAGACCUCAGGUGCUCCACUGUAGAUAUUUGACCUCUCAUUCUUCUGUUUGUCUGCUUUGUCCUGCUGAGACCCUUCCUUUUCUUAGUGCAGUCAGCUGAGGAGACACGAGGCCAGCUCUGGCCAGCAGUAAGCUGCAGCCUGUCUAGAGAUGCCUCAGGCCACACAGAGCAGAGAGGAAAUGCCUCAGCCUCACUGGGGAGGACAACCUUCCCUCUGCAGCCUCACUGGGCAAAAGAAUAGGAAACAGGGCAGAUGUCGUCACACCUUGCCUGGCUGGCAUUAAAACUUCAGAGUAAAAUCUGCUCGUGACGCUGGCUGUCAACAUUUGUUCUUCCCAGAUGGCAGAGCUAAAAUGCUUCAACCUUUGAAGAGUAUUAAUAAUAUUUCAUUUCUCUCAUGUAUACUGCAUUGCAGAAUGUUUUGACCUUUAAAAAUAAGAUUAAAAAAACAAUAGGGCAAUAGCUUAGAGGACUUCUGCAAUACAUAUGUAUAUUUGUUUUGCUUUAGUUAAUGAAACAGUUGGAAAAAGAAUGCAGGUAAAGGUUCAGACAGUUUGUUACCGGCUGCACACAUCAGAUCGAUUUCAUGAAAGAUAUCACCUGUAGUUAAUAACUUAAACAAAGCUACAAUGCUGUACAUCCAUUUGAAAUGGAAUUUUCAUUAAUACAGGACCUAAUAAUAGGUUAGGUAAUAGAUCUGGUAUAUAAUGCACAGUCAAACAGAAAUUCAUUCUAACUAUUAUGCAUAGGAAAAAAAAAGUCACAAAUUAAAACAAAAAACGAUCAAAAAAAACAAAGAAAAAAAUGAAAGAUUUCUGUAUUUUUUUUUUGUGUUCAUUAUUUAGCAGCAGAACUGUAGCUGAACCAGUCUUUAAGGACUCAGAAUCAGUUUAGCCCUCAGGGAGCUCUCUCUCACCUCUGUAUUGCCAGGGCAUAGCAGAUCCACUUGACAACAGCUGACAACAGGGCUGCUCUGACAAGCCCUUAAAGGGCAAGACAGGUAGUCACUAAAAUUAGGGCACUGCUUGUAUGACUACAGUUUCACAGUUCUGUUCCAAGAUGACAUCUGGCACUUCUGCACUUUUUUUU
Tympanuchus pallidicinctus (lesser prairie-chicken) is the source of this 10404-nucleotide long non-coding RNA. RefSeq lists it as uncharacterized. The record is from RefSeq and is a predicted model, not a curated record. Lineage: Eukaryota; Metazoa; Chordata; Aves; Galliformes; Phasianidae. The transcript is spliced from 3 exons.